This 716-nucleotide ribosomal RNA is filed under the name uncultured bacterium. RNAcentral describes it as "bacterial SSU rRNA". It matches the Rfam family "Bacterial small subunit ribosomal RNA", at positions 105 to 839 of the family's 1533-position model. The record is from RNAcentral.
GGUGAGUAACGCGUGGGUAACCUGCCUCAUACACGUGGAUAACAGUUAGAAAUGACUGCUAAUACCGCAUAAGACCACGGAGCCGCAUGGCUCAGUGGGAAAAACUCCGGUGGUAUGAGAUGGACCCGCGUCUGAUUAGGUAGUUGGUGGGGUAACGGCCUACCAAGCCAACGAUCAGUAGCCGACCUGAGAGGGUGACCGGCCACAUUGGGACUGAGACACGGCCCAGACUCCUACGGGAGGCAGCAGUGGGGAAUAUUGCACAAUGGGGGAAACCCUGAUGCAGCGACGCCGCGUGGAGGAAGAAGGUCUUCGGAUUGUAAACUCCUGUUGUUGAGGAAGAUAAUGACGGUACUCUUUAAGGAAGUGACGGCUAACUACGUGCCAGCAGCCGCGGUAAAACGUAGGUCACAAGCGUUGUCCGGAAUUACUGGGUGUAAAGGGAGCGCAGGCGGGAAGACAAGUUGGAAGUGAAAUCUAUGGGCUCAACCCAUAAACUGCUUUCAAAACUGUUUUUCUUGAGUAGUGCAGAGGUAGGCGGAAUUCCCGGUGUAGCGGUGGAAUGCGUAGAUAUCGGGAGGAACACCAGUGGCGAAGGCGGCCUACUGGGCACCAACUGACGCUGAGGCUCGAAAGUGUGGGUAGCAAACAGGAUUAGAUACCCUGGUAGUCCACACCGUAAACGAUGAUUACUAGGUGUUGGAGGAUUGACCCCU